This 75-nucleotide transfer RNA is filed under the name Cordylochernes scorpioides. RNAcentral describes it as "tRNA-Gly". It matches the Rfam family "tRNA". Rfam says of the family: Transfer RNA (tRNA) molecules are approximately 80 nucleotides in length. Their secondary structure includes four short double-helical elements and three loops (D, anti-codon, and T loops). Further hydrogen bonds mediate the characteristic L-shaped molecular structure. tRNAs have two regions of fundamental functional importance: the anti-codon, which is responsible for specific mRNA codon recognition, and the 3' end, to which the tRNAs corresponding amino acid is attached (by aminoacyl-tRNA synthetases). tRNAs cope with the degeneracy of the genetic code in two manners: having more than one tRNA (with a specific anti-codon) for a particular amino acid; and 'wobble' base-pairing, i.e. permitting non-standard base-pairing at the 3rd anti-codon position. The record is from RNAcentral. Lineage: Eukaryota; Metazoa; Arthropoda; Arachnida; Pseudoscorpiones; Chernetidae.
AUAACCAUCGGUGGUGCAGUGGUAGAAUGCUCGCCUGCCACGCGGACGGUCCGGGUUCGAUUCCCGGCCGUUUCA